RNAcentral lists this ribosomal RNA (606 nucleotides) under uncultured bacterium. RNAcentral's name for it is "bacterial SSU rRNA". It matches the Rfam family "Bacterial small subunit ribosomal RNA", at positions 246 to 842 of the family's 1533-position model. The record is from RNAcentral.
UAGUUGGUGAGGUAACGGCUCACCAAGGCCACGAUGCAUAGCCGACCUGAGAGGGUGAUCGGCCACACUGGGACUGAGACACGGCCCAGACUCCUACGGGAGGCAGCAGUAGGGAAUCUUCGGCAAUGGACGAAAGUCUGACCGAGCAACGCCGCGUGAGUGAAGAAGGUUUUCGGAUCGUAAAACUCUGUUGUUAGAGAAGAACAAGGAUGAGAGUAAAACGUUCAUCCCUUGACGGUAUCUAACCAGAAAGCCACGGCUAACUACGUGCCAGCAGCCGCGGUAAUACGUAGGUGGCAAGCGUUGUCCGGAUUUAUUGGGCGUAAAGCGAGCGCAGGCGGUUUCUUAAGUCUGAUGUGAAAGCCCCCGGCUCAACCGGGGAGGGUCAUUGGAAACUGGGAGACUUGAGUGCAGAAGAGGAGAGUGGAAUUCCAUGUGUAGCGGUGAAAUGCGUAGAUAUAUGGAGGAACACCAGUGGCGAAGGCGGCUCUCUGGUCUGUAACUGACGCUGAGGCUCGAAAGCGUGGGGAGCGAACAGGAUUAGAUACCCUGGUAGUCCACGCCGUAAACGAUGAGUGCUAAGUGUUGGAGGGUUUCCGCCCUUCA